ACUCGGAUAGCUCAGAAGGAAGAGCAGUUGACUUGUAAUCAAAAGGUCCGGGUUCGAGUCCCGGUCCGAGCU
RNAcentral lists this transfer RNA (72 nucleotides) under Manduca sexta (tobacco hornworm). RNAcentral describes it as "tRNA-Thr". It matches the Rfam family "tRNA". From Rfam's summary of the family: Transfer RNA (tRNA) molecules are approximately 80 nucleotides in length. Their secondary structure includes four short double-helical elements and three loops (D, anti-codon, and T loops). Lineage: Eukaryota; Metazoa; Arthropoda; Insecta; Lepidoptera; Sphingidae. The record is from RNAcentral.